GCCAGACUCCUACGGGAGGCAGCAGUGGGGAAUAUUGCACAAUGGGGGAAACCCUGAUGCAGCGACGCCGCGUGAGUGAAGAAGUAUUUCGGUAUGUAAAGCUCUAUCAGCAGGGAAGAAAAUGACGGUACCUGAUUAAGAAGCCCCGGCUAACUACGUGCCAGCAGCCGCGGUAAUACGUAGGGGGCAAGCGUUAUCCGGAUUUACUGGGUGUAAAGGGAGCGUAGACGGUGAUGCAAGUCAGAAGUGAAAGCCCGGGGCUCAACUCCGGGACUGCUUUUGAAACUGUGUAACUGGAGUGCAGGAGAGGUAAGCGGAAUUCCUGGUGUAGCGGUGAAAUGCGUAGAUAUCAGGAGGAACACCAGUGGCGAAGGCGGCUUACUGGACUGUAACUGACGUUGAGGCUCGAAAGCGUGGGGAGCAAACAGGAUUAGAUACCCCCGUA
This 445-nucleotide ribosomal RNA is filed under the name uncultured bacterium. RNAcentral describes it as "bacterial SSU rRNA". It matches the Rfam family "Bacterial small subunit ribosomal RNA", at positions 330 to 792 of the family's 1533-position model. The record is from RNAcentral.